GAUGAACGCUGGCGGCGUGCCUAAUACAUGCAAGUCGAGCGAACAGACGAGGAGCUUGCUCCUCUGAUGUUAGCGGCGGACGGGUGAGUAACACGUGGAUAACCUACCUAUAAGACUGGGAUAACUUCGGGAAACCGGAGCUAAUACCGGAUAACAUGUUGAACCGCAUGGUUCAACAGUGAAAGACGGUCUUGCUGUCACUUAUACAUGGAUCCGCGCCGCAUUAGCUAGUUGGUAAGGUAACGGCCUACCAAGGCAACGAUGCGUAGCCGACCUGAGAGGGUGAUCGGCCACACUGGAACUGAGACACGGUCCAGACUCCUACGGGAGGCAGCAGUAGGGAAUCUUCCGCAAUGGGCGAAAGCCUGACGGAGCAACGCCGCGUGAGUGAAGAAGGUCUUCGGAUCGUAAAACUCUGUUACUAGGGAAGAACAAAUGUGUAAGUAACUAUGCACGUCUUGACGGUACCUAAUCAGAAAGCCACGGCUAACUACGUG
This 497-nucleotide ribosomal RNA is filed under the name uncultured bacterium. Its description in RNAcentral is "partial 16S ribosomal RNA". It matches the Rfam family "Bacterial small subunit ribosomal RNA", at positions 28 to 507 of the family's 1533-position model. The record is from RNAcentral.